Molecule: ribosomal RNA, 203 nt
Filed under: uncultured bacterium
Lineage: Bacteria
Description: partial 16S ribosomal RNA
Rfam family: Bacterial small subunit ribosomal RNA
Source: RNAcentral
UGUAGCCUGCAACCCGGCCUACAUGAAGCUGGAAUCGCUAGUAAUCGCAGAUCAGAAUGCUGCGGUGAAUACGUUCCCGGGUCUUGUACACACCGCCCGUCACACCAUGGGAGCCGGGAAUGCCCGAAGCCGGUGACCCAACCGUAAGGAGGGAGCCGCCGAAGGCAGGCCUGGUAACUGGGGUGAAGUCGUAACAAGGUAUC